Molecule: ribosomal RNA, 1148 nt
Filed under: uncultured fungus
Lineage: Eukaryota; Fungi
Description: eukaryotic LSU rRNA
Rfam family: Eukaryotic large subunit ribosomal RNA (bases 515-1148)
Source: RNAcentral
AGUCGUAACAAGGUUUCCGUAGGUGAACCUGCGGAAGGAUCAUUACAGAGUGAAGGGUCUUCGGGCCCAACCUCCAACCCUUGCGUACCUUAUUGACGUUGCCCCGGUGGGCCGCGGGCCUUCCGCCGCCGGCCUCGGCCGGAGAGCGCCCACCGGAGGACAUUCAAACCCUCGUAACUGGCGUCUGAGUAAAAAACAAAAUAAUCAAAACUUUCAACAACGGAUCUCUUGGUUCUGGCAUCGAUGAAGAACGCAGCGAAAUGCGAUAAGUAAUGUGAAUUGCAGAAUUCAGUGAAUCAUCGAAUCUUUGAACGCACAUUGCGCCCCUUGGUAUUCCGAGGGGCAUGCCUGUUCGAGCGUCAUGACUGACUCAAACCUCCGGUUUGGUGUUGGGCCCGCGCCCCCCUGGGGGCUGGCCUCAAUAGUCUGUGGCGGCCUCGCCCGGCUUCGAGCGCAGUGAUUUCUCUCGCUUUGGAGGCCGCGGUGGGAGCCCGCCAGCAAACAACCACAAGGUUGACCUCGGAUCAGGUAGGGAUACCCGCUGAACUUAAGCAUAUCAAUAAGCGGAGGAAAAGAAACCAACAGGGAUUGCCUCAGUAACGGCGAGUGAAGCGGCAACAGCUCAAAUUUGAAAUCUGGCUCCCUUGGGGUCCGAGUUGUAAUUUGUAGAGGGUGCUUCGGGUGUGGCUACGGCACAAGUUCCUUGGAACAGGACGUCACAGAGGGUGAGAAUCCCGUACGUGGCCGACGGCCUACGCCCGUGUGAAGCCCCUUCGACGAGUCGAGUUGUUUGGGAAUGCAGCUCAAAAUGGGUGGUAAAUUUCAUCUAAAGCUAAAUACCGGCCAGAGACCGAUAGCGCACAAGUAGAGUGAUCGAAAGAUGAAAAGCACUUUGGAAAGAGAGUUAAAAAGUACGUGAAAUUGUUGAAAGGGAAGCGCUUGCUACCAGACUUGCCCGCGGCCGAUCAACUGGUGUUCUCACCGGUGCACUCGGUCGUGGUCAGGCCAGCAUCGGUUUGGGCGGCGGGACAAAGACCUUGGGAAUGUGGCUUCCUUCGGGGAGUGUUAUAGCCCGGGGUGUAAUGCCGCCAGCCCGGACCGAGGACCGCGCUUCGGCUAGGAUGCUGGCGUAAUGGUCGCAAGCGACC